UGAAUGCUAGGUGUAGGAGGUAUCGACCCCUCCUGUGCCGGAGUUAACGCAAUAAGCAUUCCGCCUGGGGAGUACGGCCGCAAGGCUGAAACUCAAAGGAAUUGACGGGGGCCCGCACAAGCGGUGGAGUAUGUGGUUUAAUUCGACGCAACGCGAAGAACCUUACCAGGGCUUGACAUUGAGUGAAAGAGCUGGAGACAGCUCCCUCCCUUCGGGGACACGAAAACAGGUGGUGCAUGGCUGUCGUCAG
This 250-nucleotide ribosomal RNA is filed under the name uncultured bacterium. RNAcentral's name for it is "partial 16S ribosomal RNA". It matches the Rfam family "Bacterial small subunit ribosomal RNA", at positions 810 to 1058 of the family's 1533-position model. The record is from RNAcentral.